RNA transcript from Rosa chinensis, 2013 nucleotides. It is a transcript of the gene named DUF21 domain-containing protein At4g14240, with no coding region annotated. The record is from RefSeq and is a predicted model, not a curated record. The transcript has 11 exons. NCBI's taxonomy places the organism in Eukaryota, Viridiplantae, Streptophyta, Magnoliopsida, Rosales, Rosaceae.
UCACUUCCCUCCAACUCAUUUCAUUUCUCUUCCCAUCACCGCAGUCCUGUCGCGUUCCUUCAACCUCCCCUUGCACAAUCGCCACGGUCUUCAAAACCUGCGCCUCUCUUUCGGAGCUCAGAUCCAUAGUCUGAGCAAAGCAAAUUCGCUCAGCACCAAUGGAUCUGAGGAUGAACACGCACCAAGUUUUGAAGACGCUAGCCCAGCACCUGUAAUUGACGGUGGUGGAGGAGUCAGAGUCAUCAGGACGCAGAGCAAGUGAUUACGGGGUGAAAGGUUUGAUCGAUUUUGAGCCCUUGAUCUUACUUUGAAGAAGAAGAAGAAUCACGCAGACACUGAGAAAGUUUUGAGGUGACUGGUUGUGACUGCAGGUGCUAAAUAAGAUAAGUGCUACUUCACCAAAUCUCCCUGCUGUUUCUUCACUACUGCUUCUAAGGUUGCUUUGGAAUGUUAACCUUUCUUGGUGUUUUGAUUGAGAGGUAUGUUGCCUACUUGAUUUAUCAUAAGCUCACUGAGAUGCAAUGGGAUAUUGGGAUUGCGAUUGACUUGUGACUUGCCAUUCUGGGUUAGAUUAUUCCACAAGCUAUAUGCUCAAGAUAUGGGCUUUCUGUUGGCUUGUUCACAUUCUGAUGAUCAUCUGCUAUCCAAUCGCCUACCCAAUUGGAAAAGUUCUUGAUCUUGUACUUGGACAUGGAGAUGAUUUGUUCAGGCGAGCACAGUUGAAAGCCCUCGCCUCUAUUCACAACCUUGAGGCUGGAAGGGGAGGUGAACUAACACAUGAUAAGACAACGAUUAUCAGUGGAGCGCUAGAUUUAACUGAAAAGACUGCCAAGGAGGCUAUGACACCUAUUGAAUCAAGAUUGUGCUUGGAUGUUGAUUCAAAGUUAGACUGGGAAGCAAUUGGGAAAAUUCUUGCACGUGUUAGAAUGUGUUGCUGAGCUUGUAGGAAAGGGUGCUUUAGCUGAAGGAGACAAGAUCACCUUAGAAACUGCAAAGCUGUUGAGAGAGAGUUCCGCGCAGGAUGCAUUUACUCCGUAUCUUUUCUUUGAUCCAUAUCUACUUUUCAUUUUGGUUGGGACUGGUAGUCACUAAUGAUCAUUUACCUGUUGUAAGGGCGGACAGAUAUGAUAAAUUCUGCCCUUUCUACAAGUCUGUUUGGAUGAUGCGGAAUAUCAUCCAUUUCCUUAAUUUAGCAAAUCAGGUGAACUAUUCUGUUCAAAUCCUUUCUUAUAUGACCUACCAUUAUGUUUGAAGAAUUCAUGUCUAUUUAGGUUGAAGCAUUUUAGGGCAAGGAAAACAGAUAAUUUUGUCUUUCCCGAUCUUCUUUCUAGGAACCAAUAUUCGAUUAAUCCCAGAAAGGUGCAACUUCAUUAGAUGUGACCCAAAGGAUUUCCUUACCAUAAUACCGAAAAGGUGGCCGUUGUGACACAAUUUAUCAUUAUGGAGACCCAGUGCGGGUGGAGGCCAAGUCUGAACAUUAUAGCCUCCAAGAAACACCACUCAACCCUAUCAUAAGAGCCUUGGCCAUGUCAACUUUAUUAGAUGUUUAAUUAGAUAAGUGAAGGUAUCAAUGUCCACAGGCUGUAGAGAGAGCAGCUGAUAUGGAUGAUAAAAAGAUCAAUUAUAGUAUAAUUGAGCACCGUAUGGGAGAUCUCUUUUACCGUCUAAUGUCUAAAAAUUUGAGGAACCUGCUGAAGGCGAACAAGCUCUUAUGGCAAAAUUUAAGAAGCUACAUGAUUACUUGACGAUUUGAGGAUGUAACUCGAUGAUUUGACUUACACAUUUUCUAGAUGGUUCUAGUUGCUGUUAUAAAUUGCAUGGUGAUGACAAUUGGAGUUACUGUGGAGUUACAGUGUUAGGUUUUUGUGGCGCCAUUUUUGCUUUGCUUAUGUGGCGGUUGCUCUAGUUUGGAUGUGUAGUUACAAUGAUUGUAUUCAUGUCACUCCCUUCAAGUUUUUACCCAGAAUAAGAGACUAGAUGUAUUUAAGCAACAAGGCAUUCAAGAUUUUUUCA